AUGCCGUUGGAGCAGCCCGCGUCCGCCCGGCGCGCCCCCACCUUCCACGCGCAUCCUGAGGCCGACGCGAGGCAGCUCCUCGGCGCGCUCCUGCCGCGGCGCGCGGCCACCGCCCGCCACGUCCAGCAGGCGCACGCCCGCCUCGCCGUCCUCGGCCUCGCCACCGCGCGCGUCCUCCCGCACCUCCUCGCCGCCCUCCCCCGCAUCCCGCCGCUCCACGACGGCGCCUCCUCCUCCUCCUCCUCCUACCCGCUCUCCCUGUUCCGCGUCUCCAACUCCUCCUCCGCCUUCGCGUCCAACCACCUCCUCCGCGUGCUCCCCCACCCGCUCCCGCUCCGCCUCUUCCCCGGCCUCCGGCGACGCAACCCCCACUCCUUCACCUUCCUCCUCUCCUCCCUCUCCACCCACCUCGACGCCGACCGCGCCGGCGGCCCGGCCUCCUCCUCUCUUGGCUCCCACGUGCACGCGCUGGCCGUGAAGGCGGGCGCGGCGGGUGAUCUCUACGUGCGGAACGCGCUCACGCACUUCUACGGCGUCUGCGGCGACGUGGGAGCGAUGCGGAGGGUGUUCGACGAGCUGCCGCGCAUGCGGGACGUCGUGACCUGGAACGCGGUCCUUGCAGGGUACGUGCGAGCGGGCAUGGCGAGGGUUGCACGAGCGUUGUUUGAUGAAAUGCCGGUGAGAGAUGAGGUGUCUUGGAGCACCGUGGUGGGCGGGUAUGUGAAGGAAGGGGAGCUGGACGUGGCCCUGGCGGUGUUUAGGGAUAUGGUGGAGAAGGGGGUCAGGGUGAAUGAGGCUGCGGUUGUGACGGCGUUGUCGGCGGCCGCACAGCUGGGUUUGCUUGAGCAUGGCAGGUUUGUGCACCAGGUUGUCCAUCAAGAAGGGAUGCCGAUCAGUGUGAAUGUAGGGGCUGCCAUGGUGGAUAUGUAUGCCAAGUGCGGGUGUGUGGCACUGGCCAGGGAAGUUUUCGAUGGGAUGCCGAGGAGGGACGUUUUUGCAUGGAACGCCAUGAUCUGUGGACUUGCUGCUCAUGGGUUGGGACAGGAUGCAGUGGAACUCUUUGAACUGUUUCUCGGCGAGGGUUUGAGUCCAACGAACAUUACGUUUGUUGGCGUGCUAAAUGCCUGCAGCCGCUUUGGCCUUGUUGCUGAGGGGCGGCGCUAUUUUGAAUUGAUGGCUGAGAAAUAUUGUGUUGAGCCAGAAAUGGAGCAUUACGGCUGCAUGGUUGAUCUUCUAGGUCGGGCUGGUCUUGUUCAAGAAGCCAUUGAAUUGAUCGAAGGGAUGCCUAUUGCACCUGAUCCGGUUCUCUGGGGCACUGUACUCUCGGCUUGCAAGAAACAUGGCCUGGUGGACUUGGGGGUCAAGGUUGGUAACAAGCUAAUUGAACUGGAGCCAGCUCAUGAUGGCAACUAUGUCCUCCUUGCAAGUAUAUAUGCGAAGGCAAAGAAAUGGGAUGAAGUCAGGGAAGUCAGGAAACUGAUGUCUAGUCGGGGUACCAGCAAGUCAGCUGGCUGGAGCUUGAUGGAAGCACAAGGAAACGUGCAUAAGUUUCUAGUAGGAGACAUGGAUCACAAGGAUUCCGUUCAGAUAUAUAACAUGCUCGACAUGAUUAACAGAAGGUUGGCAGAUGCAGGGUACGUACCAGACGUGUCAUCUGUAUUGCAUGACAUUGGAGAUGAAGAGAAGGUGCAUGCAAUCAAGGUGCACAGCGAGCGUCUGGCAAUUGCUUAUGGGUUCAUAGUUACGGAAGUUGGCAACCCAAUCCGUAUUGUUAAGAACCUUCAGGUGUGUGGGGAUUGUCAUGAAUUCAGUAAGAUGGUGACAAAGGUUUUCAAUAGGGAGAUUAUUGUGAGAGAUGGCAGUAGAUUCCAUCAUAUGAAAGAAGGGAAAUGUUCUUGCCUUGACUAUUGGUAG
This 1914-nucleotide ribosomal RNA is filed under the name Triticum aestivum (bread wheat). RNAcentral's name for it is "partial small subunit ribosomal RNA". The record is from RNAcentral. Lineage: Eukaryota; Viridiplantae; Streptophyta; Magnoliopsida; Poales; Poaceae.